GAACCUGCGGAAGGAUCAUUACUGAGAGGGGUUUUCGGACCCCGGGGGCCCCGGCCCCCAUCUCUUCACCCUAUGUUUACGUACCUUCGUUGCUUUGGCGGGUCUUAGGGCUCGCCCCAUACCGGCUACGAGCCUAGUGCUCCGGUCGGCCCGUGCUCGCCAGAGGCCCAUCAAAUUCUGUUCACCAGUGACGUCCGAGCAAAAACACAAUAGUAAAAAACUUUCAACAACGGAUCUCUUGGUUCUGGCAUCGAUGAAGAACGCAGCGAAAUGCGAUAAGUAAUGUGAAUUGCAGAAUUCAGUGAAUCAUCGAAUCUUUGAACGCACAUUGCGCCCCUCGGUAUUCCGGGGGGCAUGCCUGUUCGAGCGUCAUUGCACCCCUCAAGCUCAGCUUGGUAUUGGGUCUUCGCCCCCACGGCGGGCCCGAAAGUCAGUGGCGGUCCGGCGUAACUUCGAGCGUAGUAAAUCUUCUCCCGCUUUGGAAGCUCGCGCUGCGGCCGGCCAUCAACGCCCAAAUCUUUCAAUGAUUGACCUCGGAUCAGGUAGGGAUACCCGCUGAACUUAA
RNAcentral lists this ribosomal RNA (565 nucleotides) under Rhizoplaca parilis. Its description in RNAcentral is "eukaryotic LSU rRNA". The stretch from base 219 to 372 matches the Rfam family "5.8S ribosomal RNA". The record is from RNAcentral. Lineage: Eukaryota; Fungi; Ascomycota; Lecanoromycetes; Lecanorales; Lecanoraceae.